GUUUGCACUCAUCGGGGAAGGGUGAGAACCUUCGACUAAGGUUCGAUUCGAGCGAAAGCGAGAGAACGUUGCCACAGGCAACGGCCCGAAG
RNAcentral lists this small RNA (91 nucleotides) under Escherichia coli. RNAcentral describes it as "partial RtT sRNA". It matches the Rfam family "RtT RNA", at positions 1 to 89 of the family's 130-position model. From Rfam's summary of the family: This family represents a bacterial cis-regulatory element known as RtT RNA. The exact function of RtT is unknown although it is thought that it may be involved in changing the cellular response in relation to amino acid starvation. The record is from RNAcentral. Lineage: Bacteria; Pseudomonadati; Pseudomonadota; Gammaproteobacteria; Enterobacterales; Enterobacteriaceae.